Molecule: long non-coding RNA, 780 nt
Organism: Gigantopelta aegis
Lineage: Eukaryota; Metazoa; Mollusca; Gastropoda; Neomphalida; Peltospiridae
Exons: 5
Source: RefSeq, a predicted model, not a curated record
UGAUAGGUUAUGACAGCCUUCGAUCCAGCGAUAUACUCAGAUUUUGAAGAGGAAUUCCCAUAUUUUGAAGAGGAAUUCCCAAAUUUUGAAGAGGAAUUCCCAUCGUUGGCCAUUCAACAUCCAGUUGGACGACCUCAGCCACCACGAAUAAACCCAGCAUAGUCCACUGGACGGAGAACAGUUAUAUAUCUUUGUGUCGACAGGACACAACAAAUAUCUAUGGUUGGAUAGUAUCAUUCCAUAUAUGACACGAGCUAACGGGUCAUAUUUACAACACAUUUUUAAUGGAAAUGUGUAGACCUAUAACACAUGCAUUUUGCUUCGUAAGAAAUGAUUUGUCCCAGACUGUAUUGCAUGCCAGGUUGUAGUUGUCUAUGCACGGACGUCACGACGAAGCAUCGUCAUUCAAAGGGAACAUAUAUGUAUUUUGAGAAUUGUUAUGUGGCGUCGGACACACGGUUAAGGACCACAGAGCAAAUUAGAGAGGAAACCCGCUGCCGCCACUUCAUGGUUUACUCUUUUCGAUUACAAGCUGGGGGUCUUUUACAUGCACUAUCCACAGACAGGAUACUACAUGCCACGGUCCCUGUUACACCAGUAGUGGUGCACAGGCUGGAACGAGAAAUAGCUCAACGGGCCCAAUUAAUACCAUAGCGACUGCCUAUCAGGCGAACGCUUUACCACUGGGCUACACACACACACACACACACACACACACACACACACACACACACACACAUACACACACACACACAUACACAUACACACACACACACAGAG